Molecule: long non-coding RNA, 14815 nt
Organism: Columba livia (rock pigeon)
Lineage: Eukaryota; Metazoa; Chordata; Aves; Columbiformes; Columbidae
Exons: 3
Source: RefSeq, a predicted model, not a curated record
AAAUAAUUUUUAAAAAAUCAUAAACAAAACCAAUCUAUUAGCCCUUCCUUCCCUUCUUCCUCAGAACUCAUUGCUGCAAACCUCUGGGCAGCUCAUCACCACUUCUCUAAACAGAAACAAACUCACCAAGUUAAAUGGUGUAUGUUUUUUCUGCUUCAACAUUACUGAAAUACUAAGUUAUCCAAACACUAGUCAGAGAAAUUAUCCCUCUAAUGAAACAUAGCUUAAGGGCAUAAAACGUUAGGUCUUAAUAGUGGGGAUUUUUGUCUGCAACUUGAAAUUGUUUAUCUUCCAUUUUCAGUAUCUAAAUUCUUUAUUCCAGACAGUAAGUUACAGAACUUCAUUUACAAUAACAGUUAUGUUGCCAUGUUAAUUAAGCAUAGGAAGAUGGUCUUUAUAAGGGCAUUUUGUGCUGUUUUUCCCCCUGUCUUAUAGUUUUGAACCCUAUCUAGAGUGGUUUAAAAAAAAAAAAAAACGAGACAGUGAAACAGUUUCCAUUGCAAUCAGUGAGUUCUUGAACCAGGGCCACUUAUGCAAAUGAAACAAAACUGAGUGAGCCAUUUGCAAUGCAUAAUUUAGCUAAAAAUGUUAACCUCUCCUUCUGUUCAAGGCUUAUCCACAAGCGAAUCACACAUUCCUUGAAUAUAUUUCUAUUUAGACAUCCUUUCUGGGGAGAAAAAAGAAAAAAACAAAACAAAACAAAAAACCAAAAACAUUACUCUAGGGACCUUAUCAUCACAAUUUUUCAGGAGUAUUUGGUAACAUUUAUUUAAAGUUGUGACUGGUAGUGAGUACAGAUUUAUUUUUUAUUUCUAUUUAUAAUUCAAAUCACACAGUUUAAAAUAUUUGUAGCUAAAAUCCUGUAGCAUUUUAUUUAAAGAGAGAGUAGGACUUGUUUUUCUUAUUCUUAACAUUUUCGAAAGCACAUUGCAUGUUGCUCUGUCUAAUACAAUAAAGAACUUCCAGAAGGGAAAUUUUUCAAACUGCCUGUACUUUAAGAAUUCCUAUUCUGAAAACAGUUGGAAAGUAAGAUCUAAUUCUGUUUAAAAUGGUAUAUCAGGCUUCUCUUUGUGAGAGGUCAAAAUGACAGAAUUGUAAUCACAUGGAUAUUUAUGGGACCUUUGUGCACGGAGGAAAACUCGCUGACCAUGCACAGACCUCACUGGAAGCCCAUGUUAGCACACUCUAAAUUUUCAUAUCAUAGACCCAAACUCUCACCUUCGAUUUCUAACAGACUUGGCAGCAGAUCACAUCAUAAAGAAAGUGUAACUCAUCUGCAAAAAAGUGUGCUAGAUAUACUCACUAGAAGCCCAGCUUCUUAUACAGGAAACAAUGUUGUUUGGAUAACAAGAUUUGGGAGCAGCAUUUUCUCAGUUUUUUUCCCAUAGAUGCAGGAAACAAGAAGGGCAACUCAGUAGACAGGACUUUGGCUUAUUAGAAGAGUAACGUUUUCCCAUCAUGAUAAUAGCUGCAGAAGACUAAAGAGAAACAAUUAUUUUUAGUAAGUUUUAAACAUAUUCUGCCAUAGAAUGUUUGUAAUUAGCUGAUUUUGAAUAAGCAGUGUCUUAAACUUAUGAAUAUUUAACUGUAAGGGAGAAAUGCAGAUAUCCUAAUAUGUUUAUUGGCAUGAAAAUUGUAGUGCUAAUAAAGCUAAUGGUUUAUAAAAUAGAUUAAAAAAAAUAAUUGAAACACCAAUUAUAGCAACAUAAUUAUGUAGAUUGUUCUGAAGAUAAUUAACUAAACAACACACAAUAGUGAUUGGCUUUUACCCAUAAGGAAUAAUUAAAAAAAAAGAAAACAUAUAAAGUUUUAAUAGAAAAAAUGGAACUACGUUUUAAGUACUCAUUUUAGAUUUAGUUCCUGUAAGGGCAGAAUAUUUCUGCUUCAGCUUACUCAGCAUCCAGUUCUCCAAAACGGUAUUCAUUUGGUUUCCCCUCCAUAUCACAGCAAAAGGAUUAAAUGAGUGAAGAUGUGAAGAAACUAAAGUCAAAAAUAUUCCAAAUGAAGCUUAUUUUAUACUUGUUAUAGUAAGCCUUUUAGUAUUACUAUGUUCCAUGAAAGUAUUUUAAUCUCAAGAAAUUUUUUCUACAUUCCUCCUAAAUUUUUUUAUCUUUUAGUAAUUGACUAGUUUACCCACAGAGGCAUGUUGUCCUACUUUCUAUGGCAGGAAUGGGAAGGUUUCUUAGUAAAUAUUACACACCCCUUAUCAUCAAAGGGAGUAAAAAAUUUACCUUACCUUUGUUCCUGAACUGCAACACAGAUUUUAAUAGCAUGUACCUUGGAAUACCAGAGGCCUUAAAGAUUUUAAACCUUGCUUACGAUUUUAUCAUUUUUUUUAUAUUGUAUCUGAUACUUUCUGUAAUAUACAAAUAUGUGUAUUUAUUCAGUCUUCCUUGCUAUAGGGAAUAAUCCCUAUCCCUUGGGAAUGAACUGAGAAUGAUGUCCUGCCUCUAGAAAGUUAAAGGAGUUCUACAUGGUAAGCCACAGCAGGGCUUUCCCUUUAAAUGGUUGAUGAUUCUCUCAGAGAAUCUACUUUACUUCUGUAAGAAAACAGGUAUGAUCAGCCAACUCUUACAGAUUCAAAAUUGUAGAACAACAGAAUUCAGACUGAAUGGGAAUAAAAAUAAGCAGAGUGGAGUGUGGAAGUGUCCUAUACACACAUCAUUUUGAGGAAAAAAAAAAUCUCAAUUUGUCCUGAGGACCGAAUGUUAAAUGAAUUUGAACUUCUAUAUAAAGGCAAGUUUCAAAGAUUAUUUCUACUGAUGAUAAGAAACUGAACAAUCUAAUUCAGUUCCUGCAUCCUGUAUUAACUUAAUGACUUGAUUGUUGAAAGUUUUAACUCGAUUGUCUGUGAUUUAGUUCAAUUCCACACCUGAGCUUGAUUUUCUGAUUACAAUAUCUAAUUUCUUGGAUUAAUAAUUGAUAAUGGUUUGGAUUUAUAGUGACUGGCUUGCUUUCUCUAUUUGUUUGUUUUAUAGUGUUUUCUAAAACGUGUAAAAAUAUGUAAAACCAGAUUAAAUAAGAAAUUAGUAAAUUAUACUGCCAGUCUUAAAAAGUUACUUAAAUAUAUUCUUUUGCUUAAUAAAGCAAUCGAUUCUCUCCCUGAAAACCACAAACUGAUUCCCAAGCAGAAAGACAGGAGUGAAAAGAAUGUCAUGGUUUCGCCAGGUUAUCUGUGCCACUAGGCUGCAUGUUUCUUUGUACUCGUUAUGUGAUGCCACUUCCACUUCCUGCAUAGAUUAGUGAAUUUUGAGAUAAGAAUACUCUAUGCACAUAUGAACUUGAGCAGGGUGGUCAUAAAAGAUGUGAAAACCAAGACCUUAUAAUUAAAUUCCCAUGAACAGAAAAAACACUAUUUUAAAAUAGUUGUAAGUUGUAAACACAGUAGCAUCAGGAACACAGUAGAAAUAAUACUUAAAUCAGAGUUAAUAUUUUAAAAAUUAUUUGCCAGUUGCAAUUUGCAUUCAAAUAAUGUAAAAAGUAGAAACAAAAUUAUUCAUUUUUUCUGCUCUAUUCUGUUAGAAUACUUCACAGAAUAACAGAAUCACAGAAUGUUAGGCAUUGGAAGGGACCUCAAAAGAUCAUCUAGUCCAAUCCUCCUGCCAGAGCAGGAACACCUAGAUGAGGUUACACAGGAAGGUGUCCAGGUGGGAUUUGAAUGUCUCCAGAGAACGAGACUCCACAACCUCCCUGGGCAGCCUGUUCCAGUGUUCUGUCACCCUUACUGAGAAGAAGUUUCUUCUCAAAUUUAAGUGGAACCUUUUGUGUUCCAGUUUGAACCCAUUACCCCUUGUCCUAUCAUUGGUUGUCACCGAGAAGAGCCUGGCUCCAUCCUCAUGACACUCACCCUUUACAUAUUUGUAAACAUUAAUAAGGUCACCCCUCAGUCUCCUCUUCUUCAAGCUAAAGAGACCCAGCUCCCUCAGCCUUUCCUCAUAAGGGAGAUGCUCCACUCCCUUAAUCAUCUUCGUUACUUCACUAAUAUUCAAAUAGCACAUAAGUUUACCUUCAGAUUUUUCCAGAAAUUCUUCUUUUUUGAUGUAUAAUCUUGUACGGCAGUAAGAAAUGUCAGGGCUAAAAACAUAGUUUAAAGCUUUAUGCUUGAAUUGUCUAUUUAUUCUUUUGAGCAGAGAUUGAAUGUAAGGGUUGAUACUUUUAGUCAGUGAUGUUGACAAAACUGACACAUAAAUGAAAAACUUACAGCUGAGAUUCUCUGUACAUUUGAAAAGAUAUAAGGGAAUUGUUUGCAAAGUUUUAUUGAAAUCACUGUUUCAAUUUAUCUUUGUUAGCACAGCUACAGAAAACUGAAAUACAUUUUUCCUGUAUAAAUUAAACUAAUUAUAACAGAAUUAGACAAGGAGGGGAAAAAAGAAUAGCAUACUUUAUUCUAAAGGAAAAAUGUUUUAGUAGAAAAAUAUUUACAUAUUUUUACUUCAACUUCUAUAACAAAUGGUUUGGGUCCAUUUCUUUAAGAAUGCCUAAAACUUGCAAGAAUCAACAAUGUCAAAUAAUUUCCUUUCUCCCUUUGGUCAGAAGGGUAAUUUCCAUACAUUAAUGAAAUUUAACCCAAACACUUCUUCUUAACUAAUGACAGGGUAAAUUAUCAUUGCUAACUGCUUUAUUCUCUUUUCCUAUAAGAUGCAUGAUGAAAAAGUUCAGAGCAGUCUGAACUGUGUUUACUGAACAAGGGGCUAAGGUCAUAUACAAUGGUAAGCUCUAAUUCUUAAACCACCAAAAUAUUUAUCUUAUGCAUAAAGGUAAACAUGCAAUAGGCCUCCAAAGUUAAUUGAAAUCAAAUGCUUCUAUCCAUAAGUCCCCAUCAAAAUGUCUCAUUGGAAAAUAUCAGGAAAUAAAGUCUUAUCUUGAUUGCAAUUAUAUUUUCAUAUGCAUAUUUUAUAUUGGCUUUCAUAAGACCCCAAAAGUUCCUGUGGCUAAACAGUUGGUGACCAACAUCAAAAAUACCAUGAAACAGAAAUGUCGUAACAAUAAUGAUACAAUGUUUAAGUACAGCAAAACAGCUGAAAUUAAAAAAAAAAAAAAAAAAUCUUGGAGAGAUUAUACAAGUUUUUUGAGAAAUGGGGAACAAAUUGUCUCUGCUCCUUUGAAGUCUAACUGCAAAAAUAUUUAUGUAGCUUCCUUUCAUGAUGACACAAACUAAAUGAUACAGGAAACCAAAAUAACCAGAAUGUACCAGUACAUAUUAAACUAUUCCAUUAUUCAGCUGAAGCUCCUAAUACACCUAGAAGUUUAAGAUAACUACAGGUAAAGUAUGCACUGCAGCAGUGAAUUAAAUGUCUUUUUUCAAAAAAGAACAGUCUGAGCCAGUCAGAAUUUCACAACUCAUUACUCCCUGUUGUCCAUCACCUGAUAACACCUUGUCGCCACAUUGAAAUAUUUGUACUCCCAAAGAAAAAAAAAAUUCAUGCCUUGUCUCCAGAAAUGAGUCUAAAUUAUUUAAUUAUCUGAAAUUUGCUAAUUUAAGAUCCAUUUAGUAUUUAAAUCGUUCCAUUGUUUUUCAGCAAAUUGAGAUACGUGUGUUCACACGAAAAUCAUGCCAUGGGUUAUUUGGCACAGAAUGAGCCAAUAGAAUGACCCUACCUGGCAAGAAAGCCAAAAGAACAUGAGCAAAUAUAAUCACUAUUAAAAAAAAAAAAAAAUCUCAAUAUGAAGAAUAUAAUGAUCCAUUUUACCCUGCUAAAGUCAAACUAUAUAAAAAGUAUGUGCAUUAAAGACAGUCAAAAUGUAUAUUGUUUGGGUAUUUUGUGAAUAGUCAAACAUUUUAAAAAUCUCUAUUCACAGUGCUAAUGGAACAAUUCACUAAACACAUUUGAUUGUUUUGCAAUACAAAAGAACAACUUAUAUUUCAUUGUUUAAUUUUGAAACCAUUCAACACAAUUUUUUAAAUUAAGUUGGUCUGUUCGUGUAAAUAAAAAGUAUAUGCUAAAUCCUAUCAUCCUUUACAGCUAGCCAAUUGCAUGCUUAAUAUUUUCCCUCAAGCAUUUUUUAGUUCUUUUUCUAUCUAGUCUGGCCUCACAAGAUUGUGCUUCAUGACAAAAGCUCCAAAUGCAAGUAAAAAUACAGCACCUUCAACAGAGGAAGCUGCAGCAUUCAAACGGAAAUAGAAAGGGGAAGAUGUAGGUCUUUUAUUUAAAAGUUCUAAAUUCUAAAUGGGGUGAGAAGCUUCCAUUGGGUGGAGGCAGAAGAAUUUUUGUUUUUUUUUUUUUAAAUUACCAUUUGAAAAUUAUUUUCUCAAAUUGUUUUGGACAAAUGGAGGGAAAAUGAAAACACAAAAGCCUGAAAACAAAGUAAAACAUUCAGUAAAUGUUUAAAACCGCAAAACAAGUAAUAAUAAAAAAGGAUAUUAAAAAAAUCAUUUCUCCACAUUCCUUCAGUCAUGCAAUCUGUGUUGGCUAAAUCACUGAUAGCACAGAGAAUGAUUUUAAGAAAAUGUGUAUGUGUUUAUCUUUUUUAUCUUACUUUAGAUAUAUCAGAAGCAAAAAUACAUUUUUUUUCCUUCUCUAUGCUAUGAUUUCCACAAUAGCUACUGUUUGGAAAAAAAAAAAAAAAAAGAAAAAAAAUAAGGUUUGAUAUGAAAUCACCACUGAAAAAGCUUUUGGUAAGAGUACUAAAAGCCCUCUGUACCUAGAAGACUCGCUCUCCCUCUCUCUCUGUGAGCUGCUGAAACAAUCACAAUCACCGGAAAUCCAGCUCCUUUGUAAUCAAAGGGAGUUACCCCACAGGCUUUCCCAAGGCCAAGGGUUCACUGUAUAAAUUAAGUCAAGUCUUUAUUAAACCCUUCAGAAAUUUCAACUUUUCUGCAUGCUUUUGUGAUCCUGAAAAGUCCCAAAAUGUGCACAGCAUGAAUUCAGCUUGCUUUAUUAGAAAGACCUUGUGUCUGUUUACUUUACAAAACGUCAGAUACAUCUGAAUUUUCUUUCAGGUAUUUGCUUCUUCUGAAUACUACUGUCUCCUACUGGUUGUGUUAAACUUUUCUUCAGAAGACACUUACCAGUGAAUAACAAGUAUUUGAAUAUCAGCUUGAUGUUUUUCCUUGCCAUUUUAUGCUCCUGACUCCAUCAAUAAAAUCUGCUGCAGCAAUGCUAAAGCAAUGUCUCAGUAAAAGCCAAGCAAGAACUGCUCAUUCCUUUACCUGAAGAUAAGUGUGGAAUGAACCGGCCUGGGCAAAUUUACUCUCAACAGAACAUAAUCAUGAUUAUAAUUACACAUAGAUUUAUUUAAGAUUACCUCUAUUCAUUCUUGGCAUUUUCUUAAAGCUUUACAGACCUGUUAGCUUUUUCCCUUCCCUUUUUUUUUUUCCCCACAGUGUAAAGUGAUGAUCAGGUUCAGUGUCUAAUGAGGCAGCCAUUCUGAACACGUAGAGACAAAGAAGAGGUUUCCCUGGCAACGAGGACCAUGCCAAAGCUCUCAGAACAGUUAUUUCUCCUGUAUUCAGGUUCUUUUUCUGUUUAGGAUGCCUGUUAUUAUGGGUUCAGAGGCAAUGCCUGGCAAGCUUUUCUGAGAUUACAUAUACUUGAUAAAAUACAGCUAAGGCUAUGUUUUAUGAGUAAACUGAAAAGUGGCGAGCUGAUGUAUAUUUUUUCAGUUUUAUAUAUUUCUUUAUGGAAGCUUAAAGCAAUGAUUAAUACAAGAUCAUUAUGUAUGUCUAAGGCUAUUAAAUAUACUACCCAUAUCUCUUUAGAGCUUAAUCAGUCUCAGCAAAAUUUGUGGGUGUUCACUGAAUUCUGAGCCAUAUUUCUGCUGUCACUAGAAUAAGCACAGAUCUAGGUUUUAACUUUGAAAUACAUAUUAAUUUAAGCUCAUAUGGAUGUGAGCAAAGAUUUAUAGUUAUAUAUAAUAUAACCUGGGUUUAAAUCUCAAUUCAAAUGUAGAGAAAGAUUACACCAAUAAAAUAUUGAAAUAUUAGACAAUUUUUACUGUUUGAAAAUAAGAAGUAAUUACAAUAACAUUAAGUCAUUUAAUUAAUUUAAAUCUUUGUUUGCCAGGAACAAUGUGAAAUCUAUGAACUUGCUAUGAUAAAGACUUGUAAAGUCAGUUUAACAGAUGAGCUCUUCCACAUGCUUACUAUUUCUUUGAUCUGAAAAGUGUUCUCAAAGUACACCUGCUCAUAUACAUUAAACAUAUAGUUGCAGUUUUAAUUUCCUAUAAAACAGAAGCAUUAAUUUCAUGACCAAGAUAUUCACUGGGAUGCAGAAUAAAAUAGUUCGCAUUGGAAGGGAACUACGAAGAUCACUUAGUCCAACUGAAAAAAAACAAAAAAAUAUUUCCACCUUCUUCUUCAAGAGAAUUCAAAUCAACUGUCUGUCUUUCUUUCUUUUCUUUCUUUCUCUCUUUCUCUCUUUCUUUUCCUCCCUUCCCUUCCCUUCCCUUCCCUUCCCUUCCCUUCCCUUCCCUUCCCUUCCCUUCCCUUCCCUUCCCUUCCCUUCCCUUCCCUUCCCUUCCCUUCCCUUCCCUUCCCUUCCCUUCCCUUCCCUUCCCUUCCCUUCCCUUCCCUUCCCUUCCCUUCCCUUCCCUUCCCUUCCCUUCCCCUCUCCCCACUUCCUUCCUACCUCCUACCUACUUGGACAUCAAGUUUAUGAAUAUUUUGAGAAAACAAUAUUGUUUGCCAACAAGUACAGCAAACAGUAAACUUUUACUGCAGUCAUCAUCUUAUCUGUCAGAAGCUGAACUUUUAAAUCAUUAAUCCAGAUCAUUUUUUGAAAGAAAGAUCCUAGCCCUUUAAAGUUCUUCAUGCGAAAAUUCAAGCAUUAGGAUCCCAAGAGGACAAAACCUCCCUACAGCCUUGAGUAAAGAAUCUAAAAGGCAGAAUUUAAUAUUUCUCUCUUCAUUAUUCACUAUUGAUGAUCUGUAGGAAGCUACAUAAAGAGUGUUUAUGCAUACUGAGUACAGUCCUGCAUAUUUAGGAAGAACUCCAGGCAGGUACUUCCACUGGGAUCAUAAACAGAUGGCAUACUAACUCCCUCUGUCUGUGAGAUAGGAUGCAAAGUUUUCUGAUUAGACUGGAAUGAUUAGAAGGCUAGAAAACAGGCUCUGCACAGUUCCUUGGAUCAGGUUCUGAUACACUAACUAAAUCACUUGUCACAAGUUCAGCUGGGAUUGGUAGGGCUGGGAAGAUAUUACUUGAUUCUCCUUCAUAUCCUACCAUAAAUUCAAUUCCACUGUUACAUAUAAAAUCAAGCUAGUUUCAAAAUAGUAAGAAACUAAGGAAGAAAAAUAAAAAUGAGAAAUAGGAGUAAAAUAAAUUUAAAAGUGGAAUCUUGCUUUGAAGUAGUAAGGAUGAUAGUCUCCUUUUUUUUUUUUCUGCUGUGAAGGCUGCAAAGGAAUCUCAUUUUAGCUUUGUAAGACCACAGUGAUUGCUUCAGACACAAAAUUAAUCAGAUCUCUUGUUGGAUUAUGUGGGUGGUAUUUCCAAUCUUCCCUAGUGUGAAAAUUCACAGCCUGCAGCUGUGGCAUGCAAACUCAAAUAUUUUUCUCUUUCGUUUCGCCUUUAAAAAGAAGGACUUGCAUUCAUUUGCUGUUUUUAAGAAAAAGGAAAGAAGAAAAGGAAAAAAAAAAGUUGAAGGCCCAUUAAAUAUUAGUAGUUUGAAGCAGAGCAGUUGUAAAACAAAACAGUAUAAACGUGAAGUGAAUUAAUUUGUCUUGACAACAGCAUAUUUUUAGUACAGUUACAAUCUAGUAUUGGAAAAUUAACAAUAAGUUAUAUAAUUUUUCAGGUGUAUAAAAGUAAGAUAAGGAGUAAGAUAAUGGUUGUAAACAACCAUUUUGCAGUGCUAAGAGUCAUAAAAAAAGACUUUUUUUCUGAUAUUUGCUUACUUGUUCUUAAAGAAUUAAUUUUUCUCUUUAUACAGAAAAAUUGUUUGGUGUUAUUAAUACCUAUUGAAACAUAUUUAUUGGAUUCUGUGUGUAAUUCAAACAAAUCAGAUAAAACAUAAACUUGGUAUUCUAUAUCAUUAAAAUCACUCUGCAAAUUCCCAGAUGAACUUCACUUCCAAGUACACUUUUGUUAGUCUAGGAAUCUCUACUCCCAGGGGGAGAGGAAGGAAAAAAAAAAAAAAUAUUUGCUAUUACAACAUAAAGUUGAUCUUCCAUGUCGUGUCAAAGCUGCUCUAAAGUUUUUCCACAUACCCUGUAAAUUAUUUUCUUUCCCUAAUGUCUUGUUGUAUUGUUUGGCAGUACGAAGACUAGGAAAACACUAUUAACACUUAAGCUAAUUAAGGUUUUCAGAAAACAUUGGUUUCAUUGUUCUCAUUAACAGAUUUUUUUAAAAAUGCAAUUCAGAUAUAUGAAAAAGAAGAUUGCCUUUAAAUCUCAAGAAAUGAAUGUAAGUGUUCAUAUUCUGGUACAUUAACAGUUUGUUCCAGUACAUUGGUAUUUUAUGUAGAAAUCUUACUCUGCAAUUAAUAUGCCUGAUGCAAAUUGAAAAACCCAUAAUCCAUCCUUCUCUGUUGGAAUGUAAGUGCAUAUUAUUAUUGAGAAGCUACAGGAUACCAGAAGCAUUUUUUAAAGCUGAAUGCUCAUUACCUUAAAUCUGCAUAUAAAAUGGUUGGCUUUCAGACAAGGUAAUAUAUACCCAAAUAUAUCAUGAUACAUAUGAAAAUGUAACAAAUAACAAUAAUAAUCAUUCCAGUGUGUUUCACGUCCACAGAGAUACUUAUGUCUUCUAGCAUUAGAAAUUAAAAAUAGCUAAAAACCAAAUACAGAUUGAUAAUGAAAUGCCUAACUGUUCUAGCUAACAAGAGAUAUCUGGGUGCUCACUUCCAUUAUACUUGAAAAUCAGGUGAUCAUUGUUGUCUUGCUAGGAAUUUCCCAAACCCACUGACGAGAAAAAAAAAUAUUUUUGCACACAUAAUAGCAAUUAAUAUUUUUGUAAAUAUAAAUAAAAUAUGUCACCAUCACUUACUACUUCAUGCAGAUAAUUUUAGCUCAGGUUUUUGCUUGGGUGGGUAUUUCCUUUCCCUGAUUAGAUGCGGAAUGUUUAUUACGAAGGAGCAGGGUGCUAUGGCUGUUCAGUACAGAACUCUUCUACAAGUAACAGCAAGCAAUGUUUGCACAUUUUAGUGGUUUGUCAUUGUAUUGAUCUUCUGAAUCGAGUCCUCUUAAAGGGCUUAUCAGAGUGAAAAUAAAUGAAUAUCAUUGGAGAUGUCGUUUCCUGACACAGUUUUCAGAAUACUUUGUCUUUCAUGCUGACAUUGAAAGAAAACAGUUCUCAGGAGCCUUUUUAACAUUGGACACAGAUCUUAACAUAAAGUUGCGUUCUGAUUCAGGUAAAAAGAAAAUGUCACUAAAAAGUUCAAGUUCUAUCUGAAAUUGAUAGUCACAGAUUCUGGAAGACUAUAGAAAUCAUUCUUUAUUUCCAAAACAAAAACCACCUAGAGGUCUUUUGUAUUAUUGGGCUUUUUUUUUUUUGCCUUCUCUUUUUUCUUUCUUUGCAAGUAUGCAUGCACCUGGUAGCCUGUUUUUCCUGAGGGUCUGGGAAGAUCCCCUCAACAAGGGUAUUUUCUACAACCAUGACAUAAUUUCACAACAGGAUGAGGCACAGGUGUAUACCCUCAAUUUCUGGAGAGAUUAUGGUUUCUAUUGAAAGAAAAAGAAGGUAUGUUGGCUAGAAGAGAUGCAGAGUGUUCUGCAGCAAGUCCUCAGUUUAGAUGUCAUGAAACCAGUACAAUGAAAUGUGCCAAAACUGCCCCACACAGGAGUCAUAAUUUAUGUUAACCUUUAUCUGAAGAUCUCAAAGCACUUUGCAAACAGGAACAAUCCUGGUUGGAAAUGUGUUUGUGGGAAAAACUUUUAUAAACUUGAAGAAUAACUAGGACAGGAACAAGAAUCUCUUAAAAAUGUUCACAGAUGCUUUUUUCCAGACAUAUCUAGGAUCUUCAUAUUUACUAUAAAAUCCCUAGCAAACUGUCAGAGGAUGACCAGCAAUGGCAAAGCUUUUCCACAACCUCUGUCUCACAUGGUAGGAAUUCUCAUUCACCUUUUAAAUACAUCAUCCCUUUUGGGGGAGCAGGAGGGGUGGAGCAGUCUUAGUCUGCACAUAAGAAGGAUAUAAUGCAAGAGUCUAAAUGUUGUAUUUGGCCAUAGCACUGAGUGGCAUGAUGAGCAGACUCUCAUUAUACUCUAAUAAACUCUAAGGAGUUUAGACAAAUACUUUGCCUUUAUAACAUGUAUUUUUUCCUUAUGAGGUCCACAAAUUCCUUUGGAAAAAAUGCCUCUAUGAGAAAUAUAUUAACUGUCAACUAAUGGCAUUCUGCUCUGACACCAACCUAGCCUUCCUGCUCACAGUUGUUCUCUGAGCAAGGAAUGUGUUGCUACUCUGGCAAUUUUUCCAUUAAGAAUGAUGACAACACCUCAUUGUAACUCUUUCAGAAUAUUACUAUUUCAUGCAGGUCAUCAAAAGAUAAACUUAGAAUGAAUAAAACCAGCAAACUGUAUUCUGCAAAGAUUACAAGAAGACUGGUUCAAAAAGGUGAUUAAAAACCUAGAUUGGGUCUUGCUUGUAGAAUUUUUUUUUUCCCUACAUGCUUCAUUAGCAUAGUAUUAUAGUUUAAAAGCUUACUUUUAAACAGAGGGUCUUCAAAGCUUUCUUAGUCUCACAAAGUCUGUUCUCUUGAUUCUUUGUCAAGAAAGAAAAUGCCAUUGAAUUGUGUAUCCAAGAAGAAACAAAUCCACAGCUAAAUAUCCACUUUUGUCACUCAACAAUGCUAGUUCACAAGUAGCAUUAACUUUUCUAUUUAAGUUUUCACCUCUUUAGCAUUUACUCUUUCUCUCCUACGUAACAGUGUUGCUGAUGAAUUUGACUUAACCUCUAAACUCUCAUCUUCCCUUUCUUUCAUGAGCUCAUUAAAUACUCCUUUCUGUCAAGAAAAGAGUAAAAUUACAUUAAAAGAAACACUUUCUCCUGUUAUAGUUAGGCAGGAGUUAAUGGCUUGUACUUUACCUGUAAUAUGUGAAAACAGAUGAAAAGGGGAAAAAAAAAUCCCAGAAAAUCCCAUUUACUUAAUCCCAUUAACUUUUAUAGGAAAAUAUUCUAAUGAGAAAACAUUUUUGUUUUCCUAGUUAUCAUAGUAUCAUCAAACUACCAAUCCUUGACAUCUUCAUCUCUCUGUAGCAGCAAUGAUAGGGUAAGUCAUUGACGCUUUUUUUUCCCUUGCAUCUUUCCUCUUUCCUUGUUCAAGCUGCUGAAGUAUUCAUUGCUGAGGCAAAUGAACCUGAAAAGCUUUAUGGACAUAGGGCAUGGUGUAAUGAUUGACAUCAGUGCUCAUCACACACUCAUUUCCAUGAAAUAUACACUUCAGCAGAGUGAGAGAAUAUACUCUUCCUGUGUUUUCCUUGAUGUUGAAGUAGCAAGUUUACAUGAUAUAUUAAAUGAAAAAUCUCCAUUAAAAGAUCCCAAAUAAUAUAACGUAAUUUAAACUGUUAGCAAUCAGACAGAGAAUAUUACAAAUUUCUGUGAAUCCUCACAAUUCAAGCGAUGUCUAUGAUAUCCUUAUGCAUUCCUAAAGGCUUCUGGCUAGAAGUUAUCAAUAAAAGAUGCCACCCCAAUAGUAGCAUUUUGUGUUAUCAAAAUUUAUCCAUAGAAUCUCAGUGGACACACAGGACAGCAACUUCCUGCAGCUGUCCAAUAUUGUAUUGGAGUGUUGGAUACUGCAGCUGUGGGAGAUUCCCACCUCACCUAUCACAAACCCUGAAAACUUCUUUAAAGCCAAACAAAGGUUUAGUAAAAGGAAAUAAUUAAUGUGUAGCAAUAAAUUUAUUUAAUUUAGAGACACCAUCUUUCUGCCUGCACUUUAGAACUCCAAGAGAUUUUGCCUUCUGAUGUAUGCAGCAAAAGUAGUCGGGAUACUGCACAGCUCAUGGAAUCAAAGGCCUCCUUCAGAGGAUCACUCUCUGAACAGUACCCUCUUUCUGAGGACACCUGCAGCUUUCUGAAACUAAAGCAUUCCUGAAAUCGUAUUUAGACUUCACUCUAUCCUUCUUCAGGAGGAAGCUUAUAAUCUUCUUCCUUCAACAAAAUAUGUAAUGCCUGACUUAAAAAGUACUACUGUCAUUUGGAUAUUACAAAGCUAUCUUGAGCCUGGUCUGUAUACAGAAUACGCAAACCACUGCUCCACUGCUCCCCUAUAAACAAGCAGUUCAUCCUUCCCUGCCUGAUUUCUUCAUACCCUGAAAUCAACUUUUCUUAUAAACAUGCGCAAUGAUAAUGUUAUCUUACAGGUGUAAUUGAAAAUAAUGAAUCUUGUUCAUGCCUAGCUCUCAGUCAAAAUGAGACAUCACAAGAACAAAACAACCCUGAGGUGAUAAUGGCUGGGAGGUGAAGCUGAAGGCUUUGAAGGAUACUGUUGGAGUAAUCAAGUAGGAGAUUCUAAAAUUCUUGUCCUGGUUUUGGCUGGGAUAGAUAAUUUUCUUUCUAGUAGCUGUGUUCUGGAUUUAGUAUGAGAAGAAUGUUGAUAACUCACUGAUGUUUUGGUUGAUGCUGGGUAGUCAAGGAUUUCUCCACCUUCCAUACUCUACCAGGUGCACAAGAAGCUGGAACAAAGCCAGGAUAACUGACCCAAGCUGGCCAAAGGGGUAUUCCUUGCCAUAUGACAUCGCGCCCAGUAUAUAAACUGGAGUUGGCCAUGGUGCGAAUACCACUGCUUAGGAACAGAUGGGCUAUUGGUGCUGCAAGCAGUGAGCAAUUAACGUCACUUGGUUUGUGUUUUCUACUCCUCCUCCUCCUCCUCCUCUUCCUACUACUACUACUAUUAUUAUUAUUACUAUUAUUAUUAUUAUUGCUGUUCCAUUAAACUGUUCUUAU